Molecule: non-coding RNA, 870 nt
Organism: Pelobates cultripes (western spadefoot toad)
Lineage: Eukaryota; Metazoa; Chordata; Amphibia; Anura; Pelobatidae
Source: the annotation of a GenBank genome assembly
GGACUAUCGAGGACCAGCUCAGAUACCAACAGAUCCUAUUCUUCAGGGAAACAGCUGCUAAGUGAUGCGUUAUUAUUCAUGAAAACACAUAUAAGAAUGUGAUCACUGUAACUUACAGAUGGUUUUGAAAAAUAUUUUUCAUACCAAAGCAAAAGCAGAUGUUUUGUUCUGUUAAAUAAAGGAAUAAGCGGUGUUGAUGAGAUAUAUAAAAAGAGUAAGUUAGAAUGAACGCUUUUAGUUUUGAAAGACGUAAACGGUGCUUAUACUGCCUACAAAGGGGGGCUUUCCUGAGCUGAAGUUCUGGGUUCCUGGAAAGCCCCAGGUCUGAUUUUAACACCAUUUCAUUGACAGCCAUAAAACUCCAGAAAGUGAUUAAUAAAAUCUAAUAUUGAGAGAGAAAACAGAUCUUCACCUGUGUAUAUCCAAUGACUCAUUCUAUUGAUCCUCUCAGUUAUGUAAUUACAAAUGUAACUUACAAGAGGUGUUCUGAAUAGCAGACAAAUAUAGAAUGGAAGGGGCCAUAAAGUUUACCCGAUGGCUGUAUCACCUGUUCUCUUUGCCCCUUAGCAAAUGCUUCCUAUGCUUCCUGGCAUUGGGAGGUUCAGUUGCAGCAGGUCUAGUCCAGGUUCUUGUGGGCCACGUGGAACUGUGAUUUGGAACACGAGUCUCAUUAAUUUAGCUUACCUGUAUUCGGCGUGGCAUGGGGUGACAUCCAGGAUUCCCACCUGAUUCACCUCAUUGGAAAGGAUAACCUUGAUCACUCUCUGAUUACUACAUCCACAGAUGUGAUUUUCUUGUAUUUUAUAGGACAAAUGUCACAUUAUAUUAUAUCAAAUGGAUAUAUUUAUAAAUAUAUAUUUUAAUUUAAAC